GUGCUGCUGAUGGGAAUGGCUGGGAUGUGCUUGCCAGUCCCAGAGCUGAGUCCCCAUUCUGGAGACAUGGCAGGAUACCAGUUUGUUCUAAAGGGCCUGGCUGGCACUGCUCGUUUGUAGCUGUGCCCCCUCCACACCUGGGGCUAUGCAGCUGUGGGUUUGUGAAGAAUCUCGUGAGCUUUACCUGCCCCUACUAUGUGUUGGUUCUUUUCUAAACAGCAAGUGAAAUAGGGCUGGGUGGGAGACUUCAGGGAGACUUGAAACCCUUGGGUUGAAAAUGGGAAGCAGGGAACCUAAGGGGUAAACAAGCAGUGUGUAGGCAGUGGACAGUACCAUGAUUAAACCUGAUAUUCAGACCAGGCAAUCAGGGUUAAUUUUUCUGCUGUUCAUGACUUCUACAUCUAUAAGGAGUUAGACAACUGUUUUGAGGCAUCUUUGGGGGAUGGGUGUUGAAAUACUUAACAAAAAAAAUCUACCAAGAAUAUAAUAUAUAAUAUAUAAUCUGCAAUAUUUGAGUGCUUCUGUUGCUGUAUCAGAGAAGUGUUUCUCUGAAGGAAUCAUAUGUGAUUCUGCAAAUCCCAGGUUCAUUUGCAGAAGGAGAAGAAAUAAAUGGAUAUGUGCACAGAAAGUCAAUGUACUGAAAUGAAAAAGCAACAGAAGACAAAACACAAUAUGUGUGUUUUUAGAGUAUCUGUCAAUCUAAGAAUUGGACUGCCCUACUCAAAAGCAUAAACAAGCCUCAGCCUAUCAACAACAUAAAUGGGACACCAGCCUGCCAAAUACAGGGAAAUGAAUAAAUGGAAGAACAAUAAAAGUCA
This 818-nucleotide long non-coding RNA is filed under the name Cyanistes caeruleus (blue tit). Its description in RNAcentral is "lncRNA (ENSCCEG00000018404.1)". Lineage: Eukaryota; Metazoa; Chordata; Aves; Passeriformes; Paridae. The record is from RNAcentral.